This 1161-nucleotide ribosomal RNA is filed under the name Streptococcus pneumoniae. RNAcentral's name for it is "bacterial SSU rRNA". The stretch from base 2 to 871 matches the Rfam family "Bacterial small subunit ribosomal RNA", at positions 9 to 873 of the family's 1533-position model. The record is from RNAcentral. Lineage: Bacteria; Bacillati; Bacillota; Bacilli; Lactobacillales; Streptococcaceae.
AGAGUUUGAUCCUGGCUCAGGACGAACGCUGGCGGCGUGCCUAAUACAUGCAAGUAGAACGCUGAAGGAGGAGCUUGCUUCUCUGGAUGAGUUGCGAACGGGUGAGUAACGCGUAGGUAACCUGCCUGGUAGCGGGGGAUAACUAUUGGAAACGAUAGCUAAUACCGCAUAAGAGUGGAUGUUGCAUGACAUUUGCUUAAAAGGUGCACUUGCAUCACUACCAGAUGGACCUGCGUUGUAUUAGCUAGUUGGUGGGGUAACGGCUCACCAAGGCGACGAUACAUAGCCGACCUGAGAGGGUGAUCGGCCACACUGGGACUGAGACACGGCCCAGACUCCUACGGGAGGCAGCAGUAGGGAAUCUUCGGCAAUGGACGGAAGUCUGACCGAGCAACGCCGCGUGAGUGAAGAAGGUUUUCGGAUCGUAAAGCUCUGUUGUAAGAGAAGAACGAGUGUGAGAGUGGAAAGUUCACACUGUGACGGUAUCUUACCAGAAAGGGACGGCUAACUACGUGCCAGCAGCCGCGGUAAUACGUAGGUCCCGAGCGUUGUCCGGAUUUAUUGGGCGUAAAGCGAGCGCAGGCGGUUAGAUAAGUCUGAAGUUAAAGGCUGUGGCUUAACCAUAGUAGGCUUUGGAAACUGUUUAACUUGAGUGCAAGAGGGGAGAGUGGAAUUCCAUGUGUAGCGGUGAAAUGCGUAGAUAUAUGGAGGAACACCGGUGGCGAAAGCGGCUCUCUGGCUUGUAACUGACGCUGAGGCUCGAAAGCGUGGGGAGCAAACAGGAUUAGAUACCCUGGUAGUCCACGCUGUAAACGAUGAGUNGAACAUUCAAGGCUGUAACAUCGUGUUUAUUUUUAGCGACAUCAAUGCCCACAUAAAGCAUGGGAGUACCUCCAGAUGUAGUAUUUCAAGUCUACUUGGUUAUCCACGAAUUUUUUGCCUUGUUACCUUAGACGAGAUAAAACGUCUAUGCGUUAUCAAACUCAUUACCAAUUGAAACAAAAAACUGUGGUUAGAGCCUUUCGGAAAUCGUCAAGCGAUUGGAGGGAAUAAACUAAUCCACAGUGGCUUAUUCCAAGUAUACCACUUGGGCUUUGGCAGUAGCUAACUGCGCUAAAUAUAAUAUAAGGAGAAAUAGAUGGAUUUAUGGUUUUCUGAAGU